CAGUUGCUGGCCGAUGCCCUGGGCGGGUCCCGGCCUUACGGGCCGGGGGUGCUGACCCAGCAGUGGAAGAUGAGCGGGUUGUACGACCGUGCAACCGA
This 98-nucleotide transfer RNA is filed under the name Pseudomonas putida. RNAcentral's name for it is "tRNA-Val". The record is from RNAcentral. Lineage: Bacteria; Pseudomonadati; Pseudomonadota; Gammaproteobacteria; Pseudomonadales; Pseudomonadaceae.